AUACGGAGGGGGCGAGCGUUGUUCGGAAUUACUGGGCGUAAAGGGCGCGUAGGCGGGCUGACAAGUCAGGGGUGAAAGUCCUGGGCUCAACCUGGGGACUGCCUUUGAAACUGUUAGUCUAGAGUCCGGGAGAGGAUGGCGGAAUUCCCAGUGUAGAGGUGAAAUUCGUAGAUAUUGGGAAGAACACCGGUGGCGAAGGCGGCCAUCUGGACCGGCACUGACGCUGAGGCGCGAAAGCGUGGGGAGCAAACAGGAUUAGAUACCCCAGUAGUCC
RNAcentral lists this ribosomal RNA (274 nucleotides) under uncultured bacterium. RNAcentral's name for it is "partial 16S ribosomal RNA". It matches the Rfam family "Bacterial small subunit ribosomal RNA", at positions 523 to 796 of the family's 1533-position model. The record is from RNAcentral.